This 584-nucleotide ribosomal RNA is filed under the name uncultured bacterium. RNAcentral describes it as "partial 16S ribosomal RNA". It matches the Rfam family "Bacterial small subunit ribosomal RNA", at positions 355 to 936 of the family's 1533-position model. The record is from RNAcentral.
UGGGGAAUAUUGCACAAUGGGCGCAAGCCUGAUGCAGCCAUGCCGCGUGUGUGAAGAAGGCCUUCGGGUUGUAAAGCACUUUCAGCGAGGAGGAAGGUGGUGAGCUUAAUACGCUCAUCAAUUGACGUUACUCGCAGAAGAAGCACCGGCUAACUCCGUGCCAGCAGCCGCGGUAAUACGGAGGGUGCAAGCGUUAAUCGGAAUUACUGGGCGUAAAGCGCACGCAGGCGGUUUGUUAAGUCAGAUGUGAAAUCCCCGGGCUCAACCUGGGAACUGCAUUUGAAACUGGCAAGCUAGAGUCUCGUAGAGGGGGGUAGAAUUCCAGGUGUAGCGGUGAAAUGCGUAGAGAUCUGGAGGAAUACCGGUGGCGAAGGCGGCCCCCUGGACGAAGACUGACGCUCAGGUGCGAAAGCGUGGGGCAGCAAACAGGAUUAGAUACCCUGGUAGUCCACGCUGUAAACGAUGUCGAUUUUGGAGGUUGUGCCCUUGAGGCGUGGCUUCCGGAGCUAACGCGUUAAAUCGACCGCCUGGGGAGUACGGCCGCAAGGUUAAAACUCAAAUGAAUUGACGGGUCUAGCUGUUCC